RNAcentral lists this transfer RNA (76 nucleotides) under Brevibacterium sp. Mu109. Its description in RNAcentral is "tRNA_Gly_CCC". It matches the Rfam family "tRNA". From Rfam's summary of the family: Transfer RNA (tRNA) molecules are approximately 80 nucleotides in length. Their secondary structure includes four short double-helical elements and three loops (D, anti-codon, and T loops). Further hydrogen bonds mediate the characteristic L-shaped molecular structure. tRNAs have two regions of fundamental functional importance: the anti-codon, which is responsible for specific mRNA codon recognition, and the 3' end, to which the tRNAs corresponding amino acid is attached (by aminoacyl-tRNA synthetases). tRNAs cope with the degeneracy of the genetic code in two manners: having more than one tRNA (with a specific anti-codon) for a particular amino acid; and 'wobble' base-pairing, i.e. permitting non-standard base-pairing at the 3rd anti-codon position. The record is from RNAcentral. Lineage: Bacteria; Bacillati; Actinomycetota; Actinomycetes; Micrococcales; Brevibacteriaceae.
GCGGACGUAGCUCAGCUGGUAGAGCAUCUGCUUCCCAAGCAGAAGGUCGCGGGUUCGAACCCCGUCGUCCGCUCCG